This 78-nucleotide microRNA precursor is filed under the name Acanthisitta chloris (rifleman). RNAcentral's name for it is "mir-144 microRNA precursor family". It matches the Rfam family "mir-144 microRNA precursor family". Lineage: Eukaryota; Metazoa; Chordata; Aves; Passeriformes; Acanthisittidae. The record is from Rfam by way of RNAcentral.
GUGCCGGGCAGGAUAUCAUCGUAUACUGUAAGUUGGCUAUGAGACACUACAGUAUAGAUGAUGUACUCCCCGGGCUGC